This is a long non-coding RNA of Triticum aestivum (bread wheat), 2147 nucleotides long. RefSeq lists it as uncharacterized. NCBI's taxonomy places the organism in Eukaryota, Viridiplantae, Streptophyta, Magnoliopsida, Poales, Poaceae. The record is from RefSeq and is a predicted model, not a curated record. The transcript is spliced from 3 exons.
CCCUCCCCACCUAUCCAAUCGUCCUCUUGCUCCGACUCCAGGCCAUGAGCUACUCCCCGCCAAUGGCUCCGCCCCGCGCCUCCUCACGGCUGUGCCGCGGGCGAUGUGCGCUGUCCCCGGCUGCACGUCCCUUUCCUCCUCCCGGCAAUGCGCCGCUCGCCUCCUCCCGCCCACAUGCCCCAGUGACUCCUCCCUGCUCGACUCCCGGCGAGUCGUGCCGCCCCCGGUCACGUUGGGACACACCUCCUCCCGGCUCCAUCUCCUCCUUGCCGUCUCCUACUGGUGAAAGCUUCGUCUCUUACUUUGGUUGAGGGUCUGAUAAUGGACGUAAGACAGCUGUUGGAUAGGAGAUUAAAAUAUGGAAGAUAGAAGCAGACGAGGUAGCUGAAGCUGGUAGAUCAAUUGAGCAAGAGCCCCAGAUCCAGGUGUGUUUAUAAUGAGUUGUUUGUAAGACCAAUGCUACAUGGUUCCACUCGGAGUCUCUGUAGUUAUUUGGCUGAUGGUGUGCAUGAGUUUGAGCUAUUUAUUAUUUUGUAGUUCUGACUUUAGAACCAUGGAAGUUUUCCCUCUUUUAUAAAUAACUUCAUGUGGAAAAGUAUUCUUUUCGAGGGAAACAAGGUUAAGAAUUGGCAUUAGUGGUUGGCAGUGAUGAUGAGUUCGCAUUUUAUACCAGCUAGCAAGACUUCACAGAAAUUUGUUAGAGGAAUUGCAAUAUAUUUAUCAAACUUUAUUUUUCUCAUUCCUUUUUGGUUUUAGACAAGAAUAACAGAGAAUCUCAAUGCUUCUACUGAUGCAGUACCUGUAGUAGAGCAUUAUUUAUACUUUGUCACUGCAAAUAAAUAUGGCAAGUGAAAUUGACAUUAUUGCUGUAGGUAUGCCAUUGUCAUCGUACCUUGGUACAAGAACUGAUGAAGGUUUUAAUAGCGUAAGAGUAUGGGAAGCAAAAAACUGAAUCGUCUGUGGUACAGUAACAUUUUGGAGGAUGUGGGUUUACGCAUUCGCUAUAUCCAGAAUUGUUUCUUCGCAUUGGGAUAAAACUAAUGAAGUUAGUUUCAAAGAUGCACAUAAUUAAAGAACGGAAUAUAUAGUAGCAGAAAUAAAGUGAGGACAGGUAUAUACAAUAGCAAAAAGACCAAGCAGCCUGGUUGCUCUUUCAUUUAAGUGGAUGGAUGCGUGCAUGAGUUCUUUGUAGGGGACAAGUCACGUUUUGAAACUAAAGCUAUAUACAACACUCUUUUAGGGAUUAAUGAACUGUUAGUAGCAGAGUCCUUCCUGUGUGAAAGCUAAUACAUUUCUAUGGUAACCAUAUCUCGGUGCCUACAAUUCUAUAAUCUUCUUUUUGUGAAACGAUGAAACCCGAAGUAUUUCUACGUAUUUGCAUUUCUCUCUAAGGCAGGAAGCUUAUUUUGCAGGCAUUUAUGUCAUGAGCCACUUAAUGUGCAACUGAGUGCACACUGUUAUCCUAAUUUUAUUGGUCUAUCUGAGAUGUUUCCUUCUGGUAUUGCAAUAUGUGCUAGGUAAUACUCACAGUUAUAUUUUUACCCUGAACUUACUAACCUAGCUUUGGUUUCUCAGGCUUAAACUAAUCUGGCAGCAGGGUAUCAUGUGCCCGCUCACCUGUUGGUGCGCGGCUGGUGGAUACGGAGAGAUCGGCGAUGAGGAGACCCUCGCCGUCCUUCUGAUUGCCCUCAGUUGCGGGAUGUGAUGGCGGAGUUGUUCUGCAACUGCCCAGGGGUCAUGGAAGAUGGAGAACUUCCUAACGCAGUAUGCGAGCGGGGACGACAGAGAACUUCCUGGCACAGUGUGCCCGCGAGUGGGUUUCAAGACAGUUCAUGGUACAAGGUCAAGCUCAGCUUGGAAAAAGUGGAGCAGCUGCGUGAAGAGGUUGAUUAAUUGAAGGAAAUCAUCGAGAAGCUAUUACUAUCUUUCAUGCAUUUCAUGUGUAAAAGUAAUUUGGAAGGAUGCAUGGAUUCGAUAGAUUAUGGAUUAACACAGCUUAUGUGUGUCCAUGGAUUGGAGAGAAUAUGAAUACACAUGUAACUAUAGCUUCAUUGCCCACUUAUUUUAGAUUUUUAUGCAGUUUUUGUUGCUUAAAGUUUUAUAUUAAUCUAAUCCCAUUGCAACGCACGGGCAUUUUUGCUAGUAAA